Molecule: transfer RNA, 73 nt
Filed under: Stegodyphus mimosarum
Lineage: Eukaryota; Metazoa; Arthropoda; Arachnida; Araneae; Eresidae
Rfam family: tRNA
About the family: Transfer RNA (tRNA) molecules are approximately 80 nucleotides in length.
Source: Rfam by way of RNAcentral
ACCUUCGGGGUGUAGUGGUCAGCAUGCUCGACGAGUAAUCGAGAGGUCCGUGGUUCGAGUCCUGGCAAAGGCA